UCUAAUAUGGCAGAUUAGUGCAAUGAAUUUAAGAUUCAUAUAUGAUUGUGUAAUUACAUUCUAUUAGAA
This 69-nucleotide transfer RNA is filed under the name Amyrsidea minuta. Its description in RNAcentral is "tRNA-Leu". The record is from RNAcentral. Lineage: Eukaryota; Metazoa; Arthropoda; Insecta; Psocodea; Menoponidae.